UGCAAUGGACAUGUCCAUGGCACACACCCUUGGGGAUUCCUUUGCAAGCAUUAGUCUUACUAUGACCAAUAGUUUUACUCUUUUGUUUAUAUUUCAUACCUUGUGACUUUCUUUAUUGACAGUUUCCUAAACAUACGUUGUACUGCACAUAUUGAUAGACACACUUCCAAGUGACCCUUUACUAAUUAAUCCUAUAUCCUUAAGGAACUGAAAAAAGCACACUUCUAAUUUUAGUCUAAAAACUAAAAUCAAUGAUUAUAUUUUUCUUUAUAUAUCUUGCAUUUUAUUGUAAUUCAUGGACAAACCAUAACAUUAAUGUGUGGAUCCUUGUGGAGACAUCUUUUCAUUGUACAACUCUUUUUUUUUUGUUCUUUGGAAUAUAGGUAGUGUGUUAAUUUUUAAUUUUUAGGCAUCUUUAAGGAAUUUUAGAAUAUAGUUAUCUUGUGAAUAAAGGUAAAUAUGUCAAUCUUUAUUUUUUAUUUUUUUAAUUCACCUCUCUUUAAACAUGAAUUGAAUAACUUUACAUGGGUGAGCUACAUAAACAAUCUUUUUUAAUUUUUAAGGCAUCCUAUAAUAUAACUAUUUUGUGAAAAGGUAAAACUAUCAAUUUUUAUUUUUAUUUUUUUUAAUUAACCUCUUUUACUUUAUAUUACCCUAAUGUUAUUAAUAACCUCUUUGAAGCAAGAGCCUAAUGAAGAAGACUUUGAUGGGCAAUGAUGCCAAUGACAAGCUUGCGAAGGAAAUUGGCUUACAAGAAGAAAAGAAAUCAUUACAAUGAAGCGAUGUUGAAAAUCAUGAAGAUGAUAUCAUUUAAAUCAUUAGGGGGUUUAGCUAGGCUUUUAUUGAUAAUGGUUUCUUUUUGUAGUCAUUGCACUGAUAUUUGUUCUUAUAUUGGAUUUAAAAAUUCUCAUUGAAAUAUUUUGAUCUAAUGAACAAAUUUAUAAUUUGUAUAUAAGUAAUUAUACUAAUUAUUCAAA
Molecule: long non-coding RNA, 977 nt
Organism: Vitis vinifera (wine grape)
Lineage: Eukaryota; Viridiplantae; Streptophyta; Magnoliopsida; Vitales; Vitaceae
Exons: 2
Source: RefSeq, a predicted model, not a curated record